RNAcentral lists this signal recognition particle RNA (300 nucleotides) under Callithrix jacchus (white-tufted-ear marmoset). Its description in RNAcentral is "Metazoan signal recognition particle RNA (ENSCJAG00000080961.1)". It matches the Rfam family "Metazoan signal recognition particle RNA". Rfam says of the family: The signal recognition particle (SRP) is a universally conserved ribonucleoprotein. It is involved in the co-translational targeting of proteins to membranes. The record is from Rfam by way of RNAcentral. Lineage: Eukaryota; Metazoa; Chordata; Mammalia; Primates; Cebidae.
ACCACAUGUGGUAGCAUGUGCCUGUAGUUCCAGCUACUCGGGAGGCCGAGGCUGGAGGAUCGCCUGAGUCCAAGAGUUCUGGGCUGUAGUGCACUAUGCAGAUCGGCUGUCCACACUAAGUUCGGCAUCAAUAUGGUGACGUCCUGGGAGCGGGGGACCACUAGGUUGCCUAAGGAGGGGUAAACCUGCCCAGGUGAGAAAUGGAGCAGGUCAAAACUCCCAAGCUGAUCAGCAGUGGGAUCACACUUGUAAAUAGCCACUGUACUCCAGCCUGGACAACAUAGCAAGACCCUAUCUCUG